RNAcentral lists this ribosomal RNA (253 nucleotides) under uncultured bacterium. RNAcentral's name for it is "partial 16S ribosomal RNA". It matches the Rfam family "Bacterial small subunit ribosomal RNA", at positions 524 to 776 of the family's 1533-position model. The record is from RNAcentral.
UACGGGGGGGGCAAGCGUUGUUCGGAAUUACUGGGCGUAAGGGGCUCGUAGGCGGCCAACUAAGUCGGACGUGAAAUCCCCAGGCUCAACCUGGGAACUGCGUCCGAUACUGGAUGGCUUGAAUCCGGGAGAGGGAUGCAGAAUUCCAGGUGUAGCGGUGAAAUGCGUAGAUAUCUGGAGGAAUACCGGUGGCGAAGGCGGCAUCCUGGACCGGCAUUGACGCUGAGGAGCGAAAGCCAGGGGAGCAAACGGG